GUCAGUUUGACAGCCGCGGCCGCCGGUGAUCAUCCACUGUUUCUCCGGGACGGACUCCGACCUCGCAGCUCCUCUGGGACAUGUCCGACCGGCCUCCGGGCUGACGCUGGCUCUGUGGACCCCCGCGGUCCUCCACCUGCCCCGGCGGGCGUCCCGCUCCGCCCCCAGCGGGGUUAGCAGCUUUUAGCAUCCGCAGCGAGGCAGCGGCUCCUCUGGCUGUUUGUGCGCCUGCUGCUGUGACCAGGAGGUUCUGGUUCUGGCUCCGGCUCCGGAGGCUUUGGACCCGGAGAAUAAACAGACGCAUUUACAUGCAGACGGCGUGGCUGGCUGCUGUAAGGCUGCGGAGCCUGAACAACCUGCAGCCGCAGAUCUGCUGGUGCCACACGGAGAUCAGAUGGUGACAUUUCAAGCCUCCUCUUCAUGCUCCAUCCUUGCAUCCCCACCCAUCCUUCCCUCUUUUUGUCCUCUCGGCUCCUCAUCCAUCCCUCUGUGGCUCCAUUGAUCCGGCCGCUGGCGUUGCUAAGAGACAGCAGAGGGCUGUGAAGGGCAGAGAAGUGAUGGAGGGCAGAUUUACCUGCUCAGCGCCAGCAGAUGAAGAUCAGGUGUUCGCGUCUCCGGCUGCUCCUCUGUUUUCUGUUUAAGGGAAGGAGAAGCUGACAGAACCACGUCCAUCAGCAACUCAGAGCUGCACUGAAGCAAAGAGAAAAACAGCCGAAGCAGCUUCAUGAAUUAUUAUCUCUGUUUAAUAUAUAAUAUUUUACAUUUUGUCCUACCAAUUCAAAUGCAAGGAAGCCCAAAACACAGCAUCACUGUAUCCAUAUAUAUUUAUUUUAUUAAAUUUCAAUUGAUUUGAAUUUUAUUUUAAUUAAUUGUAUUGUUUAUUUUAGUUUUACUUGGACACUGAAGUCUU
Long non-coding RNA from Poeciliopsis prolifica (blackstripe livebearer), 910 nucleotides. RefSeq lists it as uncharacterized. The transcript has 3 exons. The record is from RefSeq and is a predicted model, not a curated record. Lineage: Eukaryota; Metazoa; Chordata; Actinopteri; Cyprinodontiformes; Poeciliidae.